This 497-nucleotide ribosomal RNA is filed under the name uncultured bacterium. RNAcentral describes it as "partial 16S ribosomal RNA". It matches the Rfam family "Bacterial small subunit ribosomal RNA", at positions 28 to 507 of the family's 1533-position model. The record is from RNAcentral.
GAUGAACGCUGGCGGCGUGCCUAAUACAUGCAAGUCGAGCGAACGGACGAGAAGCUUGCUUCUCUGAUGUUAGCGGCGGACGGGUGAGUAACACGUGGAUAACCUACCUAUAAGACUGGGAUAACUUCGGGAAACCGUAGCUAAUACCGGAUAAUAUUUUGAACCGCAUGGUUCAAAAGUGAAAGACGGUCUUGCUGUCACUUAUAGAUGGAUCCGCGCUGCAUUAGCUAGUUGGUAAGGUAACGGCUUACCAAGGCAACGAUGCAUAGCCGACCUGAGAGGGUGAUCGGCCACACUGGAACUGAGACACGGUCCAGACUCCUACGGGAGGCAGCAGUAGGGAAUCUUCCGCAAUGGGCGAAAGCCUGACGGAGCAACGCCGCGUGAGUGAUGAAGGUCUUCGGAUCGUAAAACUCUGUUAUUAGGGAAGAACAUAUGUGUAAGUAACUGUGCACAUCCUGACGGUACCUGAUCAGAAAGCCACGGCUAACUACGUG